Molecule: long non-coding RNA, 686 nt
Organism: Girardinichthys multiradiatus
Lineage: Eukaryota; Metazoa; Chordata; Actinopteri; Cyprinodontiformes; Goodeidae
Exons: 3
Source: RefSeq, a predicted model, not a curated record
UCUCCAAUUCCUCCUUUAACAGGUUAGCUUUAGUUACUGUUUACUUUUAUUCUAGUCAUCAUUUCUCCUGUUUCAUUCUCAGUUUGUUCUUUCAGUGUUUGCUUUUGUAGUCAGGGUUUCUUUACGGUCCCCUUUUUCUUAGGCCUUAGGUUCUGUUGUUUUUCCUGUUCCUUCCAGAUUCCUCUGUUUUCCUCUAUCUUCUGGUUAUUCUAGAUUUCUUAUGUUUUGGUUAUUAUACCGUAGUCUCCUGUUCUGCUUGGGUCUGUGUUUCUCCUUAGUGGUUUAUCUGUUUCACCUGCUCCCUCUGCCUCCCAGCCUCCUUGUGUCACCUGUUCCCUGUUCCUCUGAUUACCUGCCCUAUUGUUUCUUGUCCACCUUUGUCUGUAUUUAAGUUUGCCUUCGUCCUUUGUUCCACAUGUCUCUUCAAUGUCCCCAUGAGAUGUCUUUUGGAUUUUUGUCCUUGAACUGGAUUAUCUUGUCACCUCGCCUUCAUACUGCCACCAGGUCUUGAGGCGGUUGGGGGCAAAGGUGGUGACCACGUUCUCAAUGGUGGCCGACAAUGCAGAAGCGCUCUGGCUGCUGGAGGCCGCAGGUGGAGGAGGCGAUGAGUUUGUGCGCUCGGCCGAUUAACAGGUCACCCGUGGCGGGGUAGCAGCUGCCCUCCGUGCACAUAUCUGCAGACGGUG